Molecule: ribosomal RNA, 470 nt
Filed under: Ochlodes ochracea
Lineage: Eukaryota; Metazoa; Arthropoda; Insecta; Lepidoptera; Hesperiidae
Description: partial 16S ribosomal RNA
Rfam family: Archaeal large subunit ribosomal RNA (bases 1-124)
Source: RNAcentral
UUGAAUCUGCCCACUGAUAAUUAAUUUAAAGGGCUGCAGUAUAUUGACUGUACAAAGGUAGCAUAAUAAUUAGUCUUUUAAUUGAAGACUUGUAUGAAUGAUUUGAUGAGAUAUUAACUGUCUCUUUUUUAUAUUUAAAAUUUAAUUUUUUAGUAAAAAAGCUAAAAUUUUUUUAAAAGACGAGAAGACCCUAUAGAGUUUUAUAAUAAAAAUAAUUAUAAUUUUAUAUAUAAUUUAUUUAAAAUGAUAUUAAUUAAUUGAUUAUUUUAUUGGGGUGAUAAAAAAAUUAAUUAAACUUUUUUUUUAAUUUAAACAUUAAUUAAUGAUUAAUUGAUCCAUAAAUUAUGAUUAAAAGAAAAAAUUACCUUAGGGAUAACAGCGUAAUUUUUUUUUUUAGUUCUUAUAAGAAAAAAAGUUUGCGACCUCGAUGUUGGAUUAAGAUAAAAUUUAAAUGUAGAAGUUUAAAAUUU